This 497-nucleotide ribosomal RNA is filed under the name uncultured Glomeromycotina. Its description in RNAcentral is "partial small subunit ribosomal RNA". It matches the Rfam family "Eukaryotic small subunit ribosomal RNA", at positions 591 to 1092 of the family's 1831-position model. The record is from RNAcentral. Lineage: Eukaryota; Fungi; Glomeromycota.
CCAAUAGCGUAUAUUAAAGUUGUUGCAGUUAAAAAGCUCGUAGUUGAAUUUCGGGGUUAGUAAGUUGGUCAUGCCUUCGGUAUGUACUGGCUUUACUGAUUCCUCCUUCUUGACGAACCGUGAUGUCAUUAAUUUGGUGUUGCGGGAAAUCAGGACUGUUACUUUGAAAAAAUUAGAGUGUUUAAAGCAGGCUAACGCUUGAAUACAUUAGCAUGGAAUAAUGAAAUAGGACGUUAAUCCUAUUUUGUUGGUUUCUAGGAUCGACGUAAUGAUUAAUAGGGAUAGUUGGGGGCAUUAGUAUUCAAUUGUCAGAGGUGAAAUUCUUGGAUUUAUUGAAGACUAACUACUGCGAAAGCAUUUGCCAAGGAUGUUUUCAUUAAUCAAGGACGAAAGUUAGGGGAUCGAAGACGAUCAGAUACCGUCGUAGUCUUAACCAUAAACUAUGCCGACUAGGGAUCGGAUGAUGUUAUUUUUAAUGACUCAUUCGGCGCCUUACG